This 477-nucleotide ribosomal RNA is filed under the name Triticum aestivum (bread wheat). RNAcentral describes it as "partial small subunit ribosomal RNA". Lineage: Eukaryota; Viridiplantae; Streptophyta; Magnoliopsida; Poales; Poaceae. The record is from RNAcentral.
AUGGCAGGCUGGCUUGAUCCGUAUUUAUCGAACGGGGUUGGGGCACAUUUAUCGAACGAUGUCCUUGCGAGGAAAGGCUGGCCUCACAAUCCGUCAUGCUCUCUAUGCAAUGGGCCAAUGGAGGAUGUCGUGCACCUGCUAGCUUCCUGUCCCGUCUCCAUCCGAAUUUGGCACGACAUUAUUGCUCGCUGCAACCUUCAUCCGGGCCUCGCUCCCUCCACCACCAUAACUUCCCUGGUGCUUUGGAUCAAGCAGUCCAAUGGCAUCAUUACGGCAUCAGCAAAGAAGCCAUGGAGCGCACUCGUACAGCUGGUUUGGUGGUCGAUAUGGAACGAAUGCAAUGCAAGGAUAUUCAGAAACCAACGAUCGCCGCAGACGACUGUGGUGGAACGGAUGAUUGAAGAGGCAGCGGUCUGGCAAAGGGCGGGACGGUUCAAGGCCAUCUCCCUCCUCAACAGACCAAGAGAACCAGACUAG